Oryza sativa Japonica Group (Japanese rice) is the source of this 193-nucleotide microRNA precursor. It matches the Rfam family "MIR812 microRNA precursor family". Lineage: Eukaryota; Viridiplantae; Streptophyta; Magnoliopsida; Poales; Poaceae. The record is from Rfam.
UUUAAGCGUAACCAUGAAUUUUCGUGUAUCCAACUUUAAUUUUCCGUCUUAUUUUAAAUACUUGUAUGAUUACUACUUUUAUUGUUAUUAAUGAUAAAACGUGGAUAGUACUUUAUGCGUCACUUAUGUUUUUAAUUUUUUUUCAAAAUUUUUUAUAUAAGACGAUAGAUCAAAAUUUAUGGUUGCGCUUAAA